GUGGGCUAAGGCACAGAUUCUCAGCCUGGUGUGGCGUCACACAGGCGCAUGGCCCAGGACGCCUCCUGGGGCUCCGGGGCCACAGGUGCCACCUGGCUCUGAAUGGCCUCCGUCACCUCCAUCCCCUCUGUCACCUCCCUCACCUCCAUCACCGCGGCAGAAUGUGGAGUGACCACAGUCCCAGCCUCACCACUGCCCACCACCCUUCUGUCCCCACAGACUUGACCCUUCCAUAAAUUUCACACAAGGGACACCCACAGCGCUGGGCCCCGGGCCCCUCCUGUGCCAGCAGCCACCCUGGUGACCACCGAACCUGGGCCUAGCCUCACCCGUGACUGUCACAAAGAACCUUCCCCAUCUGCCCUCCUGCCAGGGCACAGAGGGGUGCCAAGGUCUGAAGGUGGCUUGUCACCCAGGCUUGUGACCGUCACAGUGGUCAGCGGAACACUUUGAUGUCAGUGUUGAAAGCAGUGGGAU
RNAcentral lists this long non-coding RNA (477 nucleotides) under Marmota monax (woodchuck). Lineage: Eukaryota; Metazoa; Chordata; Mammalia; Rodentia; Sciuridae. The record is from RNAcentral.